UCAACCAUUUCACUACAUGAUCUCUUACUGGCUGGCAUCACCUAACUGACUAAUUCAGUAACAAAAAGAAGUCAAAGGAAAAUAGCACGGAAGCAGCAGCAGAUAAAUGGCAUGAAUGGGACUGAAAAAGAGGCAAAUCUUUCUAUAACCGAAAGGUUUGAAGAAAAUAAACAAACUAACAACCAAGGUUCGAGUUCCACUUUGCCCAAUCACUAUUUUAAGCCUGAAAGUUGAACCAGAAGGAUAUUCAUCACAACCAUAAUUGUGGUAUUUCCAGUAAAUGAGGUGUAAAAGGGCCGUGUAUACUCUGAUGCAUACAAAUAACUUUUCUAGGGGAUGGAACUUAUUUCACUUUCUUUGUUUCACUUUUUCAAACCCUCAGAUUUUGGCAUGGAGGUUGAAUUCCACCGUUAAAACACCUGACUUUUGUGGAGUUUGAAAUUCUCUGUCUACACUUGAAUCUGACAGUUUCAAAUUACAGAAGCCUGUCAAAUGUGUGCAGUUCUUCCAUUUCUGCAGUUUGAUUGAUACAGUUGGGAGAAUUUUACCAUAAGAUGUAUAGAUGGCUGCAUAAUGAUAUGGAUACCAUAUAUUUAAAUGCUAUUAUCUGCUGUGACCCAUCCAAAAUAAUCUGGACCUGAAGUGCACUAAUGGAAUGACGUUGCUGCUGUUAUUAACCUCUGUGCUCUAUUGUGACUCACUAUCGCUGCAAAAUACAUCUGAAUCUUCAGGAUGACAGUGGGUAAGAACAAUUGCAGCCAGCCAUAGAUCUGAAGAAAACAGAUGGGAACCAUGGAACAGACAAGGAAAAGAAGUGGAGGCUCCUUGUGCAUUGACCUGUGCUUGGAGGGGUGGCAGCAAGGCACCACGCACCACCAAUGGACUAGAAGCAAUACAAAGCAUUUUUCCUGCAACAUUUAUCCAAGCCUGGUGUCCUACAAACUGUAAAGAAUAAGGAAGAAAACAUUUUCUUUUGGCCCCCAGCCAUUUCCCUCAGGCAGGACAACAUAGCUCACAUCAUGAACUAUGUGAACUGAUCCAGAAAGGUCCACGAAAAUAAAAAUGGA
Molecule: long non-coding RNA, 1067 nt
Organism: Hemicordylus capensis (graceful crag lizard)
Lineage: Eukaryota; Metazoa; Chordata; Lepidosauria; Squamata; Cordylidae
Exons: 5
Source: RefSeq, a predicted model, not a curated record